CCAGACUCCUACGGGAGGCAGCAGUGGGGAAUAUUGGGCAAUGGAGGAAACUCUUACCCAGCAAUGCCGCGUGAAUGAAGAAGGUCCUCGGAUUGUAAAGUUCUUUAAUUGGGGACGAAAAAAAUGACGGUACCCAAGGAAUAAGCCCCGGCUAACUACGUGCCAGCAGCCGCGGUAAUACGUAGGGGGCAAGCGUUGUCCGGAAUUACUGGGCGUAAAGAGAGCGUAGGCGGCACUACAAGUCUCAUGUGAAAUACCCGGGCUUAACUUGGGGGUUGCAUGGGAAACUGUAGAGCUUGAGUACAGGAGAGGCAAGCGGAAUUCCUAGUGUAGCGGUGAAAUGCAUAGAUAUUAGGAGGAACACCAGUGGCGAAGGCGGCUUGCUGGACUGAAACUGACGCUGAGGCUCGAAAGCGUGGGGAGCAAACAGGAUUAGAUACCCUAGUA
This 447-nucleotide ribosomal RNA is filed under the name uncultured bacterium. RNAcentral describes it as "bacterial SSU rRNA". It matches the Rfam family "Bacterial small subunit ribosomal RNA", at positions 331 to 792 of the family's 1533-position model. The record is from RNAcentral.